This 455-nucleotide ribosomal RNA is filed under the name uncultured Pelotomaculum sp. RNAcentral describes it as "bacterial SSU rRNA". It matches the Rfam family "Bacterial small subunit ribosomal RNA", at positions 929 to 1382 of the family's 1533-position model. The record is from RNAcentral. Lineage: Bacteria; Bacillati; Bacillota; Clostridia; Eubacteriales; Desulfotomaculaceae.
GCGGUGGAGCAUGUGGUUUAAUUCGACGCAACGCGAAGAACCUUACCAGGGCUUGACAUCCCCUGACCGCGUAUGAAAGUACGUUUUCACCCUCGGGUGACAGGGAGACAGGUGGUGCAUGGUUGUCGUCAGCUCGUGUCGUGAGAUGUUGGGUUAAGUCCCGCAACGAGCGCAACCCCUACGUUUAGUUGCUAACGCGUGAAGGCGAGCACUCUAGACGAACUGCCGUUGACAAAACGGAGGAAGUGGGGAUGACGUCAAAUCAUCAUGCCCCUUAUGUUCUGGGCUACACACGUGCUACAAUGGCCGGUACAGACGGACGCAAAGCCGCGAGGUGGAGCAAAUCCUAAAAAGCCGGUCUCAGUUCGGAUUGCAGGCUGCAAUUCGCCUGCAUGAAGUCGGAAUCGCUAGUAAUCGCAGGUCAGCAUACUGCGGUGAAUACGUUCCCGGGCCUU